AUGAACGCUGGCGGCGUGCCUAACACAUGCAAGUCGAGCGAGAAAUUAAUCAAUGAAUCUUCGGAAGAAUUGAUUAAUGGAAAGCGGCGGACGGGUGAGUAACGCGUGGGCAACCUGCCUUUCACAGAGGGAUAGCCAAAGGAAACUUUGAUUAAAACCUCAUAAAGCUGGAAUAGUGCAUAAUAUACCAGCCAAAGAUUUAUCGGUGAAAGAUGGGCCCGCGUCUGAUUAGCUAGUUGGUGGGUAACGGCUCACCAAGGCGACGAUCAGUAGCCGACCUGAGAGGGUGAUCGGCCACAUUGGGAACUGAGACACGGGUCCAAACUCCUACGGGAGGCAGCAGUGGGGAAUAUUGCACAAUGGGCGAAAGCCUGAUGCAGCAACGCCGCGUGAACGAAGAAGGCCUUCGGGUCGUAAAGUUCUGUCCAAAGGG
This 433-nucleotide ribosomal RNA is filed under the name uncultured bacterium. RNAcentral's name for it is "bacterial SSU rRNA". It matches the Rfam family "Bacterial small subunit ribosomal RNA", at positions 29 to 444 of the family's 1533-position model. The record is from RNAcentral.